GACAAGGAGCAUCUACAGCUACUGGCUGGGUUUGGGAACGGAGCCCCCGACACCCACUGUCACGACCUCGCUGGGCUGCCUUGUGUUUCCUCUCAGAGCUUGGGAGGGGGACGAAUACCCAGCCCGGCCCGUUCCCCUCCAGCUCUGUGCCCUGGGAGCCCACAUCCAUGGGCUCCUUUGUUCUCUGGCUUCUGAUGGAUCCUACUUACGAGAGGCGCUGACCAGAGAGGACAUGGGAGGCCUUGACAUUCAGCUUGUGGGAUCUUAGUUCCCUGACCAGGGAUUGAAUCCCCACCCUCUGCCCUGAAAGCAUGGAGUCCUAACCAGCAGACCAGCAGGGAAUUCUUCCUUGAAAUGACCACUUUGCAUGGUAUCUCUUCCCAGCUGAGGUGUGACACAGUGAUUUUA
Dama dama (fallow deer) is the source of this 408-nucleotide long non-coding RNA. RefSeq lists it as uncharacterized. The transcript has 3 exons. Lineage: Eukaryota; Metazoa; Chordata; Mammalia; Artiodactyla; Cervidae. The record is from RefSeq and is a predicted model, not a curated record.